UGGGAAUAUUGGACAAUGGGCGAAAGCCUGAUCCAGCCAUGCCGCGUGUGUGAAGAAGGUCUUCGGAUUUGUAAAAGCACUUUAAAGUUGGGAGGAAGGGCAGUAAAGCUAAUACCUUGCUGUUUUUGACGUUACCGACAGAAUAAGCACCGGCUAACUUCGUGCCAGCAGCCGCGGUAAUACGAAGGGUGCAAGCGUUAAUCGGAAUUACUGGGCGUAAAGCGCGCGUAGGUGGUUUGAUAAGUUGGAUGUGAAAGCCCCGGGCUCAACCUGGGAAUUGCAUCCAAAAACUGUCUGGCUAGAGUAUGGCAGAGGGUGGUGGAAUUUCCUGUGUAGCGGUGAAAUGCGUAGAUAUAGGAAGGAACACCAGUGGCGAAGGCGACCACCU
Molecule: ribosomal RNA, 388 nt
Filed under: uncultured bacterium
Lineage: Bacteria
Description: partial 16S ribosomal RNA
Rfam family: Bacterial small subunit ribosomal RNA
Source: RNAcentral